CUGUCUGCAGCCCAAGAAGAAAGCCCACACCAGGAACCGAGGGUGCUGGCACCUUGAGUUUUGACUUCCCAACCUCCAGAAUGUGCUGGCCAUAAGUGGAGAACAAGAGAGACAUGGUGGCUGCCUUCCUGAGCUGAUAAUCUGAACGAGGUGGAGCUGGAUGGCAGAGGGAGAGACAAAGAGGACAAAUAUACAACAGAUAAACAAGAGAACGUUGGAAAGUGCUGAAUGCACUGAAGAAGUUAAGUAGGGUGUUGCAAUCAAGAGAGAUGUGGUGAUUUCAGACCAGGUGGUCAGGACGGCCUCUCUGAGUGGGACCUUACAUUGGUCUUGGAAGCACAUGGGAGGGUCUAGGAGCAGAGCAGUUCAGGCAGAUGGGGGGCUGGAGCAGAGGCCUUAGGUGAGGCAGCAGUCAUGUCAGCUGAGAUCCUAUAGGGAAAAGGACCCCACAUCGCUGAAAGCCCUGUAGCCCAGGGCAAGUGGCACGGAGAAAGGGAAAUGGGUAGCAGUUUGGAGACCUAAGUUCUAAUCCUAGAUUUGCCACAAAGUAGCUGGGUUGCCUUGGACAUGCCAUAAUAUAGCCCUGGCCUCAGUUUCCUUAUCUGUCAAAUGGGAACACAAAUCCUGCCCUUUCCUAGAGGUACGCUAUGAGGGGGCAUGGAGUAGGCGUGACCUGCCCUCAAACACCCAGCUCCCAUAUGUCCAUGUGUAGUGAUAAAAGCCAGUCUGUCUUAGGCCCCUCCAGGAGUCUGGGCUGCAGGGAUGAGGGGCCUCCAGGCCAUCCACCCUCAUGCACAAUGCAAGCCCUGUGCUGGCCCCAUGGACAACAGGCGCAGGAGAGAGGGUCUGCUUUUUCUUUUCAUGGACUUGAGACUUCAAGCCUUUGGACUGAGCGCCAACAAUAAUUCAUCAGGAACACUUUACAACUCAGCAUUACAAAACCUGUUAGGAGACAGAUCGCCCACAGGACAGCCUUUGAGAAGGAAAUGUGUUCAGGCCUGGUGACCUCAAGAUGAUUAAUGAUUUUUAACAGGGUGAACUCUGUCCUCCCCCUCCCAUGUACUGUGUUCACACUCCCUGCCUCCCCUGACUUGUUUGCAGGAGAAAGGGGAGGGUGAGAGGGAGGAGGGGAGGGGAAGGAAUAGGUGGGAGCAGGGGAUGCUUGAAGGCAAAGCCCACCAAUCAUAAGGAAAAUGCAGGAAUAAGAGCACUCUGUCAGAAAUGCAGAAAUGUCUUAUUGUUAUUGUUUUACUUUUUCUUUUUUUUGGCAAACACAGCCUUGGAGGCUUUAUAUCUUGAAAUCUGUGUAAUGUGUCACAACUCCAGUAAGCUUUUUUGUGUUAGGCUUUUUGCACAGUGCCUUGCGCUUUCAGCCAUUAUUAUUAUUAUUAUCACCUCUCCAUCCCCAUGGACACAAACCUUGAUGUUAUUGAAUGUGGGAUGUGUUGGAAAAGGUAAUGAUGAUUUCACCUUUUGAUUUUUAAAGUCAUGGUAACUUGACUUUUAUGUUACUAGAUUUAAAAAAUUACAACAGUGAUAUAUGCAGUUUUAACAAACCAAAAAUACAGAGUUACUGGAAGAAAAAUUUCUAAUCUUUCCCUAUACCCUUCUUUAGUCCGAAACCCCUGAGGUCAUCAAUGUCAAAUCAAGGCAAUCCUUUGUAGUACUGUAUACAUAUUAAUCCAGAGUGAUGUCCUCAUACAUGAUCCUAUAGAACAUGGAUGUUCAGCUGAAAACCAAGAAUAAUGGCAGGCCUUUACAAUUUUGUGGGAAAAGCAAAUUUAUGAUGAUAAGGAGAUGAUAGCUAAUAUUUAUUAACUAUUUAUAUUAAAGAUACUCUUACAUUAACAGUAUUCUUUAGAGUACCUUUAUAUUAAAGGUACUCUGUUCAAGUGUAUUACGUGUGUUAUUUAGAUGAUAAUUACUAUUUAUUGAUUAUUUACAUUAAAGGUAUUCUGUUCUAGUGCAUUAUAUGUGUUAUUUAGAUGAUAAUAUUUAUUGGUUACUUACAUUAAAGGUACUCUAUUCUAGUGCAUUACAUGUUAUUUAAUCCUCAUAAUAGCCAUUGAAGGUAUUUAGAAAUAUUCUUCCCACUUCACAGAUGAGGAAACUGAGCUAUGCAGUCAGCUUGGAAGUCUUAGAACCAGGAUUGGAGUUCAGGAGGUCUCACUCUCAGCCCUGUGCUCUGCUGGAUGAGCUUUUCUUAGUUUUAAGUCUUUCUCCUAUAAUCUUUCCUGAAACUCUGUUGACCUACCUGAAUGUCUGCUUGCAAGUCUUUACAGACAGCAAAAUAAAUGACAGAGUAGCAAGUGAGUGAUUAAGGAUGAAGGUUCCGCUCCCCGAUACCCACUGUGAUGGCUACUUCCUCUGUGGAUCCUCAUUCUGGGAAGGAUUGAAGCAUUUUAUAUCUGUUGCAUCAAGAGAAACCCAGGCCUCCUGUAAAAUGGAUCUAACUCCACUGCCUCCUAUUUCCCAUUACAAUCCAUGAAGGAUUUAUUAUUCCUGCUACUCACUGAGUGACGUCGGGUGAGUCACUGUCUGAGCUUCAGCUUCCUAUCCAUAAAAUGGGACUAGCAAUGCAAUGGGAUUGUUGUGAAG
Molecule: long non-coding RNA, 2598 nt
Filed under: Homo sapiens (human)
Lineage: Eukaryota; Metazoa; Chordata; Mammalia; Primates; Hominidae
Description: HSALNT0069372
Source: RNAcentral